RNAcentral lists this long non-coding RNA (532 nucleotides) under Triticum aestivum (bread wheat). RNAcentral's name for it is "long non-coding RNA (TAES_LNC001169)". Lineage: Eukaryota; Viridiplantae; Streptophyta; Magnoliopsida; Poales; Poaceae. The record is from RNAcentral.
ACUCAUUUCAGUCUGUAUGCGAGAUAUCCAGAACAUCUUAUAGAUUACAGAUCAUGAGCACUAUAAUCAUGGGCAUGCACAUAAUGUAAUGUCCUAAUAGGACAAGUUACAGGACGGGGAAGCACUCCUUGGCGGGCAUUUAUGUUUGAGCAAUCAUAGAAAAACAGUAGUGUUUGUAUAGGAACACCAACUGGAAUGGAUGGAUCACCCACUGAUGAACACCGAGGGAACAUUAAAGUUCAGCCUACAGUUUCUAGGGGAAAUGUACUGUCCAUACUACCAGAUCAAGUCAAAAGAGAAAUUCCUCAUAUUUUGCAGAGUCGGCGUUAACUCCAGAGCCCCUAAGGUGGUACGAAGAAUUAUCAUGUAAAAGUGUUUGUACUUAGCAACGUACUCCCUCUGUAAAGAAAUAUAAGACAUUGAGCAUAUACCUUGAGCUGUCUAAUCAAACUCCUUCAAACACGCAACCUUAGGAUGAGCUCUGUUGAAAUGCUCUGUUCACAGGACAGUUGUUAUGCGUGUAUAGGAUGAG